GACGAACGCUGGCGGCGUGCCUAACACAUGCAAGUCGAACGGAGAUACGAUUUCGGUUGUAUCUUAGUGGCGAACGGGUGAGUAACGCGUGAGCAACCUGACUCUUAGAGGGGGAUAACACCUGGAAACAAGUGCUAAUACCGCAUAAGACCACGACAUGGCAUCAUGACGAGGUCAAAGGAGCAAUCCGCUGAGAGAGGGGCUCGCGUCCCAUUAGAUAGAUGGCGGGGUAACGGCCCACCAUGUCAGCGAUGGGUAGCCGAGCUGAGAGGCUGAUCGGCCACACUGGAACUGAGACACGGUCCAGACUCCCACGGGAGGCAGCAGUGGGAAAUAUUGGGCAAUGGGCGCAAGCCUGACCCAGCAACGCCGCGUGAGGGAAGAAGGCUUUCGGGUUGUAAACCUCUGUCCUUGGUGACGAAAAAAAUGACGGUAGCCAAGGAGGAAGCCCCGGCUAACUACGUGCCAGCCGCCGCAGUAA
This 481-nucleotide ribosomal RNA is filed under the name uncultured bacterium. Its description in RNAcentral is "partial 16S ribosomal RNA". It matches the Rfam family "Bacterial small subunit ribosomal RNA", at positions 28 to 523 of the family's 1533-position model. The record is from RNAcentral.